Molecule: ribosomal RNA, 183 nt
Filed under: Triticum aestivum (bread wheat)
Lineage: Eukaryota; Viridiplantae; Streptophyta; Magnoliopsida; Poales; Poaceae
Description: partial small subunit ribosomal RNA
Source: RNAcentral
AGAAAGGACCUCGCAUCUCUAGUCAUGUUGGUUUUAUGGAAGAUUUCGAAUGAGCGGAAUGCAAGAGUGUCUAGGAAGGUGUCCUCCAUGCCAAAUGUAAUCACGUCUAGAAUCAAGGUGGUGGUCAGACUUUGGGGAUUGGCAGGGGCCAAACGUUUGAGUUCUCUUAUGCCGCGGGAGUAG